UACGUAGGGUGCAAGCGUUAUCCGGAAUUAUUGGGCGUAAAGAGCUCGUAGGCGGUUUGUCGCGUCUGCUGUGAAAACUGGAGGCUCAACCUCCAGCCUGCAGUGGGUACGGGCAGACUAGGGUGCGGUAGGGGAGAUUGGAAUUCCUGGUGUAGCGGUGGAAUGCGCAGAUAUCAGGAGGAACACCGAUGGCGAAGGCAGAUCUCUGGGCCGUAACUGACGCUGAGGAGCGAAAGCAUGGGGAGCGAACAGG
This 253-nucleotide ribosomal RNA is filed under the name uncultured bacterium. RNAcentral's name for it is "partial 16S ribosomal RNA". It matches the Rfam family "Bacterial small subunit ribosomal RNA", at positions 524 to 776 of the family's 1533-position model. The record is from RNAcentral.